RNAcentral lists this ribosomal RNA (1494 nucleotides) under uncultured bacterium. Its description in RNAcentral is "bacterial SSU rRNA". It matches the Rfam family "Bacterial small subunit ribosomal RNA". The record is from RNAcentral.
AGAGUUUGAUCCUGGCUCAGGAUGAACGCUAGCGACAGGCUUAACACAUGCAAGUCGAGGGGCAGCGCGGGCGUAGCAAUACGCCUGGCGGCGACCGGCGCACGGGUGAGUAACACGUAUGCAACCUGCCCGCAGCAGGGGGAUAAGCGGAGGAAACUCCGUCUAAUACCGCGUAACACCCGGGGUGGACAUCCAUCCCGGGUCAAAGGAGCGAUCCGGCUGCGGAUGGGCAUGCGGCGCAUUAGCUAGUCGGCGGGGUAACGGCCCACCGAGGCGACGAUGCGUAGGGGUUCUGAGACGAAGGCCCCCCACACUGGUACUGAGACACGGACCAGACUCCUACGGGAGGCAGCAGUGAGGAAUAUUGGUCAAUGGGCGGUAGCCUGAACCAGCCAAGUCGCGUGAGGGAAGACGGCCCUACGGGUUGUAAACCUCUUUUGCCGGGGAGCAACGGCGGUGACGUGUCACCGAUAGGAGAGUACCCGGAGAAAAAGCAUCGGCUAACUCCGUGCCAGCAGCCGCGGUAAUACGGAGGAUGCGAGCGUUAUCCGGAUUUAUUGGGUUUAAAGGGUGCGUACGCCGCUUUCCACGUCAGCGUUAAAAUUGCGCGGCUCUACCCCGCCGAGCCGUUGAAACUGGCGCGCUUGAGUGGGCGAGAAGUAUGCGGAAUGCGUGGUGUAGCUGUGAAAUGCAUAGAUAUCACGCAGAACCCCGAUUGCGAACGCAGCAUACCGGCGCCCGACUGACGCUGAAACACGAAAGCGUGGGUAUCGAACAGGAUUAGAUACCCUGGUAGUCCACGCAGUAAACGAUUGAGCGCUAACUGUCCGCCCCGGUUAAGGGGUGGGUGGUAAAGCGAAAGCGUUAAGCGCUCCACCUGGGGAGUACGCCGGCAACGGUGAAACUCAAAGGAAUUGACGGGGGCCCGCACAAGCGGAGGAACAUGUGGUUUAAUUCGAUGAUACGCGAGGAACCUUACCCGGGCUCAAACGGCGGAUGAAUAUCUUUGAAAGGAGGUAGCCUACGGGCAUCCGCCGAGGUGCUGCAUGGUUGUCGUCAGCUCGUGCCGUGAGGUGUCGGCUUAAGUGCCAUAACGAGCGCAACCCCCACCGACAGUUGCUAACUGGUCAAGCAGAGGACUCUGUCGGGACUGCCGGCGCAAGCUGCGAGGAAGGCGGGGAUGACGUCAAAUCAGCACGGCCCUUACGUCCGGGGCGACACACGUGUUACAAUGGCAGGCACAGCGGGAAGCCGCACGGCGACGUGUAGCGGAACCCGAAAUCCUGUCUCAGUUCGGAUUGGAGUCUGCAACCCGACUCCAUGAAGCUGGAUUCGCUAGUAAUCGCGCAUCAGCCAUGGCGCGGUGAAUACGUUCCCGGGCCUUGUACACACCGCCCGUCAAGCCAUGGAAGCCGGGGGUGCCUGAAGUGCGCUACCGCGAGGGGCGCCCUAGGGUAAAACCGGUGACUGGGGCUAAGUCGUAACAAGGUAACC